AACGAACGCUGGCGGCAUGCCUAACACAUGCAAGUCGAACGAGACCUUCGGGUCUAGUGGCGCACGGGUGCGUAACGCGUGGGAACCUGCCCUUAGGUUCGGAAUAACUCCCCGAAAGGGGUGCUAAUACCGGAUAAUGUCUUCGGACCAAAGAUUUAUCGCCUUUGGAUGGGCCCGCGUUGGAUUAGCUAGUUGGUAGGGUAAAAGCCUACCAAGGCGACGAUCCAUAGCUGGUCUGAGAGGAUGAUCAGCCACACUGGGACUGAGACACGGCCCAGACUCCUACGGGAGGCAGCAGUGGGGAAUAUUGGACAAUGGGCGAAAGACUGAUCUAGAAAUGCCGCGUGAGUGAUGAAGGCCUUAGGGUUGUAAAGCUCUUUUACCCGGGAUGAUAAUGACAGUACCGGGAGAAUAAGCUCCGGCUAACUCCGUG
This 433-nucleotide ribosomal RNA is filed under the name uncultured bacterium. RNAcentral's name for it is "partial 16S ribosomal RNA". It matches the Rfam family "Bacterial small subunit ribosomal RNA", at positions 29 to 507 of the family's 1533-position model. The record is from RNAcentral.